AAGGGAAUUUAUUUGAGGAAACUAAAAAUAUAUAUGUAUGUGAUAUUUGUUGUUGCCGAGAGAAGAGAUUGUUGGAAAUUGGAGGAAUGAAUUUGGGGAAAUUACGAAGAAAUUACCAAGUUUUCUUUAAAGAUACUUCAAAAUGAAGUAAAUGAAGGAAAAUCUCAGCGGAAGCCACGAAUUGAAUAAGGUAAGCAGAAGCUGGAGGGACUUUGUUGGCUGAAGAAGAGAUGAUCGGUUAUGGUUGAUAGAUAUAAGCAGAAAAGCUUGGUCGGUGAGAACAAAUUCCUGUUGCAAAUUCCGAGUUUCUUCAAAAAACAAACAGAGGAAGGAGUAAAGAAGAUUUCUGUGGGUUGUGUUGAAGAAUCAUGGCCGGAGAAGAAAGGAAAAAGAAGAAAAUCAGUGGCGGCCGGAGUGGACGGAAAACAGAGUAUCGCCGGUUUUAAGCAAAUUCGUGGAGUUAUAGGCUAAUUCGAAGCUCCAAAUUCGAAGGAUUAUUAGGAAUUCAUGGAAUGAAAAAUCUGGGGAUCAGCUGGUUGAUUGUGAGUGGUUUAUUUUUAAGUAUUUGAUUUAUGAAAUAUAUACACAAUUAUGGUUUGGAAAUGAAACUUAAGCAUGAUCUAUUUUAUAUGUGAUUUAAUUGUGAUUUCCAUGAAAUUAAUCGAUUUUAAUUGGAAAUCAAUAGAUUUUAGCUACUUUGUUGGAAACCAUGUUUACGUUGGAUUUUCUGAAUUAAUUAAAUGAUUUAUGAUUUCAUUUGAAUAUCGUAGAUUUGAUGGAAUAAAUUUCAAACCACUGGACUUUGAAUUUGAUUUAUGAUGUAUUAUGAUAUCAUUGUUGUUAUGAGGGAAGUAGAUUUCAAACCAUUGACUUAGGUACCCAAAGAAUGUUAGCAUACUUUGUGGACGUCCGACGAGGAUUGUCAGCAUGCUCUGACUGGAAUUGUUAUCGUACUCGAGUAUGUCUCGCGAAAACUGUCGAUAUGUGCAUAUGGGACAAGUUAAAUUGGGUACAGGGUUUAGUGAAAUUUUUCCUGGAUAUGACUGGAAUUUAUAUGAAUCAUUCUCUCGUUUAAAUGAGAAGACUUAGGAUCAUGCUAUUCCACUAA
Molecule: long non-coding RNA, 1108 nt
Organism: Benincasa hispida (wax gourd)
Lineage: Eukaryota; Viridiplantae; Streptophyta; Magnoliopsida; Cucurbitales; Cucurbitaceae
Source: RefSeq, a predicted model, not a curated record